GUCUAACACAUGGCAUUCUAGCGGGGAAAAGCAGCUUGCUACUUAACCUAGCGGCGGACGGGUGAGUAAUGCUUAGGAAUCUGCCUAUUAGUGGGGGACAACAUCUCGAAAGGGAUGCUAAUACCGCAUACGUCCUACGGGAGAAAGCAGGGGACCUUCGGGCCUUGCGCUAAUAGAUGAGCCUAAGUCGGAUUAGCUAGUUGGUGGGGUAAAGGCCUACCAAGGCGACGAUCUGUAGCGGGUCUGAGAGGAUGAUCCGCCACACUGGGACUGAGACACGGCCCAGACUCCUACGGGAGGCAGCAGUGGGGAAUAUUGGACAAUGGGGGGAACCCUGUCCAGCCUGCCGCGUGUGUGAAGAAGGCCUUUUGGUGUAAAGCACUUUAAGCGAGGAGGAGGCUACCGAGAUUAAUACUCUUGGAUAGUGGACGUACUCGCAGAAUAAGCACCGGCUAGACUCUGUGCCAGCAGCCGCGGUAAUAC
RNAcentral lists this ribosomal RNA (483 nucleotides) under uncultured Gammaproteobacteria bacterium. RNAcentral's name for it is "bacterial SSU rRNA". It matches the Rfam family "Bacterial small subunit ribosomal RNA", at positions 46 to 526 of the family's 1533-position model. The record is from RNAcentral. Lineage: Bacteria; Pseudomonadati; Pseudomonadota; Gammaproteobacteria.